This 433-nucleotide ribosomal RNA is filed under the name uncultured bacterium. Its description in RNAcentral is "partial 16S ribosomal RNA". It matches the Rfam family "Bacterial small subunit ribosomal RNA", at positions 29 to 507 of the family's 1533-position model. The record is from RNAcentral.
AGCGAACGCUGGCGGCAGGCCUAACACAUGCAAGUCGAACGAACUCUUCGGAGUUAGUGGCUGUCGCGGGUGUCACACGGCGGAACGUGCCGUUUGACUCGGGAUAACACAUGUUAGCUUGUGCUAAUACCGAAUGUGUCACUCUGGGAAAAGAUUCAACGCCCUUAGAGCGGCCCGCGUCUUUUUAGCUAGUUGGUGAGGUAACGGCCGACCAAGGCUACGCUCAGUAGCUGGUUUGAGAGGCAGACUAGCGACACUGAGACUGAGCCACGGCCCAGACUCCUACGGGAGGCAGCAGUGGGGAAUCCAGCGCAAUGGGGUAAAGCAUGACGCAGCCAUGCUGGGUGAAUGAUGAAGUUCGUAGGAUUGUAAAAUUCUUUCACCGGCGACGAUAAUGACGGUACCCGGAGAAGAAGCCCCGGCUAACUUCGUG